GCUCCUUGGGUGGCGAGUGGCGGACGGGUGAGGAAUACAUCGGAAUCUACUCUGUCGUGGGGGACAACGUUUCGAAAGGAACGCUAAUACCGCAUACGUCCUACGGGAGAAAGCAGGGGACCUUCGGGCCUUGCGCUAUCAGAUGAGCCUAGGUCGGAUUAGCUAGUUGGUGAGGUAACGGCUCACCAAGGCGACGAUCCGUAACUGGUCUGAGAGGAUGAUCAGUCACACUGGAACUGAGACACGGUCCAGACUCCUACGGGAGGCAGCAGUGGGGAAUAUUGGACAAUGGGCGAAAGCCUGAUCCAGCCAUGCCGCGUGUGUGAAGAAGGUCUUCGGAUUGUAAAGCACUUUAAGUUGGGAGGAAGGGCAUUAACCUAAUACGUUAGUGUUUUGACGUUACCGACAGAAUAAGCACCGGCUAACUUCGUGCCAGCAGCCGCGGUAAUACGAAGGGUGCAAGCGUUAAUCGGAAUUACUGGGCGUAAAGCGCGCGUAGGUGGUUUGUUAAGUUGAAUGUGAAAGCCCCGGGCUCAACCUGGGAACUGCAUCCAAAACUGGCAAGCUAGAGUAUGGCAGAGGGUGGUGGAAUUUCCUGUG
This 600-nucleotide ribosomal RNA is filed under the name uncultured bacterium. RNAcentral's name for it is "bacterial SSU rRNA". It matches the Rfam family "Bacterial small subunit ribosomal RNA", at positions 79 to 675 of the family's 1533-position model. The record is from RNAcentral.